RNAcentral lists this ribosomal RNA (460 nucleotides) under uncultured bacterium. RNAcentral's name for it is "partial 16S ribosomal RNA". It matches the Rfam family "Bacterial small subunit ribosomal RNA", at positions 338 to 795 of the family's 1533-position model. The record is from RNAcentral.
CCUACGGGCGGCAGCAGUGAGGAAUAUUGGUCAAUGGGCGCGAGCCUGAACCAGCCAAGUAGCGUGAAGGAUGACUGCCCUACGGGUUGUAAACUUCUUUUAUAAAGGAAUAAAGUGAUGCACGUGUGCGCUUUUGUAUGUACUUUAUGAAUAAGGAUCGGCUAACUCCGUGCCAGCAGCCGCGGUAAUACGGAGGAUCCGAGCGUUAUCCGGAUUUAUUGGGUUUAAAGGGAGCGUAGAUGGGUUGUUAAGUCAGUUGUGAAAGUUUGCGGCUCAACCGUAAAAUUGCAAUUGAUACUGGCAGCCUUGAGUACAGUUGAGGUAGGCGGAAUUCGUGGUGUAGCGGUGAAAUGCUUAGAUAUCACGAAGAACUCCGAUUGCGAAGGCAGCUUACUAAACUGCCACUGACAUUGAUGCUCGAAAGUGUGGGUAUCAAACAGGAUUAGAUACCCCGGUAGUC